GAGCAAGAAGGCCAUCCACCAUGCAGUGUAAUGUCUUGCUAAGAGAAAUUAGUAUUCAGUCUGCUCAGGUUCCAGCAAGGACUUUCUUCAUGAAGAUCUUCAAGUGGAAUCAAGCAGCCUUGCCCAUGAAGUCAUGCCUGUGGCUCCACUGAGAAAUUCGAUUAAGUAUUCCAAUACUGCUGUGAAACGAAGUGAUCUGAUUCCGAUGAAGAAGUUACCUCAGAGAAGUCAAAUAAUUUACCCAGAGUCACAAAAUAAGCAAAUGAUGGAAUAUUCAAAUCCAGGUCUUCUGACUCUACCUCUAUCUGCCUUAGAGGUUUCUGAAGUAUUGAUAAGAUGGAGGCUGGAAGAGCUUGAAACAGACCAUAUAAAGCCAGGUCUGAGCUGGAAAAGCAAAGAGGCCCAAGGAACAGCACAGACCCUGACUGGUGGGGUAUCUGUGUAUUUUAAAUAACAAAUACAACAAAGAUUCAAGGUUCAGCAUGUACCCAGAUGUUUCCAUUAUUGAUAUAUAUAUGCCAGUUUAAAAUAUUUAAAUGGAAAACAGUUUGUGUCCACUUCAUUUUAGAACUAUGCCAGUUACAGGAAUCACCCCAGUAUCAGUUAUGUCUUACUCAUGUCAAAGAACCAGGGUCAGAAGAAAAAAAUCUCCAGUAAAGAUCCUUGCAACUCAGGAACACUCUUUCCUCUGAAUACUGCUAUGAACUAGAGUUAAAAGAAAGCAUUUUUUAAAAGAAAUGAUUUAUUCGUUCCUCAUGAUAAACAUAUCAAAACAUCACAUUGUACCACAUAAAUAUAUGCAAUUAUUUGGUUAACUGAAAAUAAAAUAAAAUUUAAAAAGAAAUAGAACGAACCUGAGUUAAAC
Molecule: long non-coding RNA, 865 nt
Filed under: Homo sapiens (human)
Lineage: Eukaryota; Metazoa; Chordata; Mammalia; Primates; Hominidae
Description: non-protein coding LINC01479:5
Source: RNAcentral